This is a non-coding RNA of Zonotrichia albicollis (white-throated sparrow), 1123 nucleotides long. The record is from RefSeq and is a predicted model, not a curated record. NCBI's taxonomy places the organism in Eukaryota, Metazoa, Chordata, Aves, Passeriformes, Passerellidae.
CGCUGGGGAAUACCGAAUGGCGGGGCCGAGCCACGGGGUGGCUGUACGGUCGGGCUCCGGAGGGGAACGGGAAAAGGGAGAUGUGUCCCCUGGCGCUGUCCCCUCCGGCCACCCCAUCCCUGCUGAAAGAGCAGGAGGAGGCUCGGGGCGGGCAGUUGGAUGCUAUUUCAUUGCAAUAUCGUGUUCUCCCAGUUCUGCAGGUCACGGGGUUGGAGGAUGAAAUAAAGGACAUGACCAAACGCAGGAUCAAACAACAAGAAGGCUGAAUUUUUCAGGAUCAGCUGAAGUAUUCUUUCAGAUAAGUACCUUAGCUUUCUUUGAAAAAAAUCCAGUUCAUAUGCUGGAAAAAACUGAUCAUUAUUUGCAUCCAAAAUGUAUCAAAGUUCAUAAAUAGCACCAGAAUAAAUAAUGCAUACCAGUAUGGUGGUUUCAGAUCAUAUAAAGAACUGUCAGACCCACUUUGUCUAGGAGAAAAAUUGAAACACAGACAUUAAAACACUUGACCAAAGGCAUGAAGCACAAGUUGAAUGCUACUAAUUUGUAUGUGCUGGUACUGCAAGUGUCAAACUUUUUGACUAUUUUGAAGUGCUUUGAAAUGUGAAGAUGUAAUAUUUUCUCUCCUUUUUUAAAACAUGGAGAGGAAAAAUAACUGCUAAGGCUUGUGGGUGGGUUUACUUCCUAAGAACUUCUUACUGAUUUACAACAGUUUGUGAAGUGGUUUUCUUAGUGUCAUUCAAAGCAGAGUAAAGGAACAAGUUGAACUUGCAUUUUCAUUUUCAGCCCUCAACCUUUUAGAUUAGCCUGUAAAAACAAGAAUCAAAAAAUAGGAUAAGCAGUGCAAAAAUAGGCUGGGAUUCUCAUCACUCCUGUUUGAGGGCAUUUUCCUUCUCUCCCUCUUGUCCUCACCCUGCCUGCUCACCCUCCCUCACUGUCUUGGCAACAAGAUUCACUGGCUGACUGUAGCUCACUUGUCUUCUACCCCCUCAAACCAAUUAGUUCAUCUGUUUAAAUCAUGCAUCGAAGAAGCCUCUCCCUUUUGAGCACACAGCUCACUUGGGGCUCACUCCUAUAACCUUCAAUUUUUAAGGCAGCAAGAGUUUGCAAUUGACUCAGAUUACAUGAG